This 1388-nucleotide long non-coding RNA is filed under the name Coturnix japonica (Japanese quail). Its description in RNAcentral is "lncRNA (ENSCJPG00005006020.1)". Lineage: Eukaryota; Metazoa; Chordata; Aves; Galliformes; Phasianidae. The record is from RNAcentral.
UGGGUGGAGGGUAAAUGUGUUAAAAGGGACAAUGAAUGAACAGUGAAUGAGUACGAUCAGCUCAGCUGACUGAGUACCACGAACUGGCAGAGACUGCAAAGAGGGAGCAGUGGGAAGAUGACAUUUUCUUUUUAUCUUGAAUCAGGGCUUUGCUUAUAAAGGCUACUUUAUAUGAUAUGAUUCUGUUUGUAUAUUGCUAGGGAAGGUAUAACGAUACCAGAAACACUACGAGGUUUUGGUUUGGCUUUAACUGUGUUGGAUGAGUGGAAAGAACAGGAGACAGCCUCAGCAUGUUUGUGUGCUGAGGCUUUAAUAGCCAUCUAUAAGAGUAACUUCUGCUGCCAUUUUAAAACUUGGGAAUAGAAAAAAUGCCAAGUGUUCCACUUGAAGUGUUGUAGGAGUUCAAAUGUGAGUACUGAAAAAGGAGACAAAUACCAAUGCUUUUUGUAUGAGUAGCACAGGUGCAGUCCUACUUUGGGUGUAUGGACAGCAUUUCAUGCUAGAAUAGAUAAGAAUAGUCAGUGUUUCCAAACACAUCUCCUAUAGCUGCAGAAUAUCGUCUGAGCAGUGAGCAGUUAUUCCUGUUGUAGGAAAAAAUACAUCCAUACAUUUCCAUUUUCACAAGGUCUUCGUGUAGUCUUACGUAAUUUGGGUUUGUUGUGGCUUUUCCUCUAAUGACGUGUUCAUUUUACAAACAUAAGCAUUAUGUUGCAUCGAUGCCACUGUCAGAUCCCUCUCUUGUGGUGUUUCUAAUUUAAACAGAACUUCACACCAAGAGUUUUAAUUAGGAUUUAAUUAGUUGCAAGUAUACUGCCGAGAAUACUGUGGUUCUUCCUGGAUUCAGUGUCCAGGGUGUGUAGCUGGACAUGAACUGUGUGUGAGAGACUGGUCUAGAAGAGAAACUCCUGAAAUUCAGGAGGCAAUGGCACCUUCUGUGAGUAGAGCCCAGUGUCUGCCAGCAUCCCCUCCAGCAAUUACCUCCAGAUCCUGUGCCUGAGAUGUGCUCAUCCAAUCCAGUUUGGGGGUGCUGGGGUUGGUUUGUUUCUUGGGAGCAAAGAGGGAGAGGUUGCUGCUUUAUUUGUGAUGUUCUGACAGUGUUUCUGGAUCCAAAGAUUUCCAUCACCUGUGGGAAACUACCUUUAAGGAUAUACAGGUGUUGUGGGUUUUUUUGUUUUACUGUUUAAAUAUCUCCUCAUGCUGGUAUUGCACCUCUUAGCUUAGAAGACUAAAUGGAUUUCCUCAGCUAACAGUAAAAUAGUCCAUAAUAUCCCACCGUUUCUGCAGUUCCCAUUGUCAGGACAGAUUCUAUUAGAAGGAACUUACAGGAAUAACUGUAAUUCAGUCACAUCUGAAAUAAAAACUGUGGGGAAUAUGUUGUUUUUUGGGAA